Molecule: long non-coding RNA, 216 nt
Organism: Zea mays
Lineage: Eukaryota; Viridiplantae; Streptophyta; Magnoliopsida; Poales; Poaceae
Exons: 2
Source: RefSeq, a predicted model, not a curated record
UUCCAAAAAGGUUUCGAUCGUGUCUAUGAGCCUCAGAUACCAGAGUGUAGCCAUAGAGCCACUGAUGGUGCGGAACCAGUAAACGAUCAUGAAGAUUCUAUGCCUAAUGCCAAACCGUUGGGCCUUGGCCAAGCAGGCACUACAAUCGACAGAGAUGAACACAAGCGCUUUGUGAGGGAAGUUCACGAGGAAGUAACUGAGGCAAGGCAGAAGGCC